This 804-nucleotide ribosomal RNA is filed under the name uncultured bacterium. RNAcentral's name for it is "bacterial SSU rRNA". It matches the Rfam family "Bacterial small subunit ribosomal RNA", at positions 60 to 889 of the family's 1533-position model. The record is from RNAcentral.
AGUCGAACGGACAUGUCUUUCGGGAUAUGUUAGUGGCAGACGGGAGCGUAACACGUGGGUGACCUGCCCUGGAGUGGGGAAUAACUAUCCUAACGGAUAGCUAAUACCGCAUAUGCUCGAUGAUUCAUUUUGUCGAGUAAAGUCGUAAGGCGCUUCAGGAUGGGCCUGCGGCGGAUUAGGUAGUUGGUGGGGUAAUGGCCUACCAAGCCGAUGAUCCGUAGGGGGCGUGAGAGCGUGGCCCCCCACACUGGCACUGAGAUACGGGCCAGACUCCUACGGGAGGCAGCAGUGAGGAAUAUUGCGCAAUGGGCGAAAGCCUGACGCAGCAACGCCGCGUGAGGGACGAAGGCCUUCGGGUCGUAAACCUCUUUUCUGGGGAAAGAGCAAGGACGGUACCUCAGGAAUAAGUCUCGGCUAACUACGUGCCAGCAGCCGCGGUAAAACGUAGGAGGCGAGCGUUAUCCGGAUUUACUGGGCGUAAAGCGCACGCAGGCGGCUUCGUUAGUCGGGUGUGAAAGCUCCUAGCUUAACUGGGAGAGGCCAUUCGAUACUGCGAGGCUUGAGGUUGGGAGAGGGGUGUGGAAUUCCCGGUGUAGUGGUGGAAUGCGUAGAUAUCGGGAGGAACACCUGUGGCGAAAGCGGCACCCUGGCCCACACCUGACGCUGAGGUGCGAAAGCGUGGGGAGUAAACAGGAUUAGAUACCCUGGUAAUCCACGCUGUAACGAUGUCACUGGGUGUCGGUAGCUUUACGCUAUCGGUGCCGAAGCAACGCGUUAAGUUGACCGCCUGGGGACUACGGCCGC